Molecule: ribosomal RNA, 860 nt
Filed under: uncultured bacterium
Lineage: Bacteria
Description: SSU rRNA
Rfam family: Bacterial small subunit ribosomal RNA
Source: RNAcentral
UACGGAGGGUGCAAGCGUUACUCGGAAUCACUGGGCGUAAAGGACGCGUAGGCUGUUUAGCAAGUCAGAUGUGAAAUCCAAUGGCUCAACCAUUGAACUGCAUUUGAAACUGCUAGACUAGAGUAUGGGAGGGGGAGAUGGAAUUAGUGGUGUAGGGGUAAAAUCCGUAGAUAUCACUAGGAAUACCUAAAGCGAAGGCGAUCUCCUGGAACAUUACUGACGCUAAGGCGUGAAAGCGUGGGGAGCAAACAGGAUUAGAUACCCUGGUAGUCCACGCCCUAAACGAUGAACACUAGUCGUCGCGAUGCUUGUCAUUGCGGUGAUGCACUUAACAGAUUAAGUGUUCCGCCUGGGGAGUACGGUCGCAAGAUUAAAACUCAAAGGAAUAGACGGGGACCCGCACAAGUGGUGGAGCAUGUGGUUUAAUUCGAGGAUACGCGAAAAACCUUACCUGGCCUUGACAUUGAUAGAAUCCUGUAGAGAUACGGGAGUGCCCUUCGGGGAGCUUGAAAACAGGUGCUGCACGGCUGUCGUCAGCUCGUGUCGUGAGAUGUUGGGUUAAGUCCCGCAACGAGCGCAACCCUCGUCCUUAGUUGCCAGCAGGUUAAGCUGGGCACUCUAAGGAGACUGCCUUCGCAAGGAGGAGGAAGGUGAGGACGACGUCAAGUUAUCAUGGCCCUUACGGCCAGGGCUACACACGUGCUACAAUGGGGCGUACAGAGUGUUGCAAUACCGCGAGGUGGAGCCAAUCACUUAAAGCGUCUCUCAGUUCGGAUUGUUCUCUGCAACUCGAGAGCAUGAAGCUGGAAUCACUAGUAAUCGUAGAUCAGCAUUGCUACGGUGAAUACGUUCCCGGGUCU